UUGCUUUACUGCUUUUCCACCUACAGGUUUCUAUUAUGCUGAUCAGUGGGAAAAGCCUCGUCCUAUGAUUGGCAAGCUUUCAACAAAAGCCAUUUAACAAAGCAGACCAGGAACAGAAUCACAUAAGAACAAAACAGGAACUUGUUCUAAAAGAAACCACUCUUAAGCUGCAUUUAUAAAGUUUUGAUCCUGUCAGUCAUGUGUGAUCCAUACACAGGUAAACCACAUCCAUGCCCUGGAGGUUUUCCACAUCCCCAGGUCUAUCCACCAGCUCCUGGUUAUCCAUACCCAGUAGGACCUGCUGUGCCAAGCAUGCCUGCUUCACCUUGCCCACCCUAUCACCCACCUCCCCCUGUGGUGCUUCCUGCACCUAUUGUGUGCACCUGUUCAACUGGUCACAUCUGUCCUCAUCAUCACCAUCACCCCCCACAUCAUGGGCAUGGGCAUCAUCACCACCACCACCAUGGACAUCAUGGACAUCACGGACAUCAUCAUCAUCACCACCACCACCACCACCAUGGACUUUUUGGACUUCUCAAGAAGCAUUAAUGCCAGCAUGACAGUGCAAAGGUAAAAGCUUAUAAAUUUGAAGACAGCUUACAGAAACAAUGAAUGAAUAAUCACCAGAAAGCUUGGAGAUAUAACCACAACUGUCAUCAUUAAAUAUAAUUUUGAUGUUUUAUACCAAGUGUGCUUAGCAGGAUUUUGUAACCUUUUAGACCAUCAGAUGUAUUACAUGCAAUUAUACCUGUAGAAAUUAAAAAAAAAAACAUCUGCUGAUAUUGAUAUAAAGCAUGCAAGGCUAGUAUUUCUAAAUAACUGUAACCACUAUUACUGUAUCUACGCAAACUGUGUUUCUAAAGUCAUUUGAACCAGACUAAAUCCAAUAAUUUGUGUGGUAGACUUUAUGUGCAUUCAUAUUUUAUUUUAACAAAGUACACAACUACAUAUAGAUCAGAAUGCAGGAAUACCAAGUUCAUAUACCCGAGGCGAAAUGUAAACUGUUUUAUUUUAAAUCUUUAUAUUGUAAAAGAGAGAGAAGCAACAGGUAGUUCCAAUAUAUGAUUUUCAUAUUCAUACAUAACUAUGCACCAUAUGAGCUAUGCAUGGGAUGCAUUUACAAAUAGUGGUACAAAGUACUGAGACUAAAUUAAUAUUAAAAUCAAUAUCCUAGUGCCACAAACAUUGUGUAAUUCUUACAAGUUUAGACAAGUCCUUAAAAAGAUCUUUUAAAAAUAGGGUCCUUUCUGACACUUGUAUAUUUCUUCAAAAACAUCAGCAAUCAUGUAAUUUGUUACAGACUAUUCCUUCCCUUAACUUACAUGUCAGUAAAGUAUAACUGUCACUGAUACCUGCAGAAUGUAUGUUGGUGUGUUGUGAAGAUGCAAGUCAUUGCAAUCUUUAGUAGCAAAGAAAAGAAAAGAAAAAAACAUUUAUUGUAUACCAAAAGUUGCAAAGGUAUAUUAAAUAUUUAAUAAACUGGAGAGGAAUAACCCACUUUCAACUACA
This is a long non-coding RNA of Protopterus annectens (West African lungfish), 1509 nucleotides long. RefSeq lists it as uncharacterized. The transcript has 4 exons. NCBI's taxonomy places the organism in Eukaryota, Metazoa, Chordata, Ceratodontiformes, Protopteridae. The record is from RefSeq and is a predicted model, not a curated record.